GUUAUAUGGUCAAGUGAAGAAGCGCAUACGGUGGAUGCCUUGGCAGUCAGAGGCGAUGAAAGACGUGGUAGCCUGCGAAAAGCUUCGGGGAGUCGGCAAACAGACUUUGAUCCGGAGAUCUCUGAAUGGGGAACCCACCUAGGAUAACCUAGGUAUCUUGUACUGAAUCCAUAGGUGCAAGAGGCGAACCAGGGGAACUGAAACAUCUAAGUACCCUGAGGAAAAGAAAUCAACCGAGAUUCCCUUAGUAGUGGCGAGCGAACGGGGAUUAGCCCUUAAGCUUCAUUGAUUUUAGCGGAACGCUCUGGAAAGUGCGGCCAUAGUGGGUGAUAGCCCCGUACGCGAAAGGAUCUUUGAAGUGAAAUCGAGUAGGACGGAGCACGAGAAACUUUGUCUGAACAUGGGGGACCAUCCUCCAAGGCUAAAUACUACUGACUGACCGAUAGUGAACCAGUACCGUGAGGGAAAAGGCGAAAAGAACCCCGGAGAGGGGAGUGAAAUAGAACCUGAAACCGUAUGCGUACAAGCAGUGGGAGCCUACUUGUUAGGUGACUGCGUACCUUUUGUAUAAUGGGUCAGCGACUUAUAUUCAGUGGCAAGCUUAACCGUAUAGGGUAGGCGUAGCGAAAGCGAGUCUUAAUAGGGCGUUUAGUCGCUGGGUAUAGACCCGAAACCGGGCGAUCUAUCCAUGAGCAGGUUGAAGGUUAGGUAACACUGACUGGAGGACCGAACCCACUCCCGUUGAAAAGGUAGGGGAUGACUUGUGGAUCGGAGUGAAAGGCUAAUCAAGCUCGGAGAUAGCUGGUUCUCCUCGAAAGCUAUUUAGGUAGCGCCUCAUGUAUCACUCUGGGGGGUAGAGCACUGUUUCGGCUAGGGGGUCAUCCCGACUUACCAAACCGAUGCAAACUCCGAAUACCCAGAAGUGCCGAGCAUGGGAGACACACGGCGGGUGCUAACGUCCGUCGUGAAAAGGGAAACAACCCAGACCGCCAGCUAAGGUCCCAAAGUUGUGGUUAAGUGGUAAACGAUGUGGGAAGGCUUAGACAGCUAGGAGGUUGGCUUAGAAGCAGCCAUCCUUUAAAGAAAGCGUAAUAGCUCACUAGUCGAGUCGGCCUGCGCGGAAGAUGUAACGGGGCUCAAACCACACACCGAAGCUGCGGGUGUCACGUAAGUGACGCGGUAGAGGAGCGUUCUGUAAGCCUGUGAAGGUGAGUUGAGAAGCUUGCUGGAGGUAUCAGAAGUGCGAAUGCUGACAUGAGUAACGACAAUGGGUGUGAAAAACACCCACGCCGAAAGACCAAGGGUUCCUGCGCAACGUUAAUCGACGCAGGGUUAGUCGGUUCCUAAGGCGAGGCUGAAAAGCGUAGUCGAUGGGAAACAGGUUAAUAUUCCUGUACUUCUGGUUACUGCGAUGGAGGGACGGAGAAGGCUAGGCCAGCUUGGCGUUGGUUGUCCAAGUUUAAGGUGGUAGGCUGAAAUCUUAGGUAAAUCCGGGGUUUCAAGGCCGAGAGCUGAUGACGAGUCGUCUUUUAGAUGACGAAGUGGUUGAUGCCAUGCUUCCAAGAAAAAGCUUCUAAGCUUCAGGUAACCAGGAACCGUACCCCAAACCGACACAGGUGGUCGGGUAGAGAAUACCAAGGCGCUUGAGAGAACUCGGGUGAAGGAACUAGGCAAAAUGGCACCGUAACUUCGGGAGAAGGUGCGCCGGCUAGGGUGAAGGAUUUACUCCGUAAGCUCUGGCUGGUCGAAGAUACCAGGCCGCUGCGACUGUUUAUUAAAAACACAGCACUCUGCAAACACGAAAGUGGACGUAUAGGGUGUGACGCCUGCCCGGUGCCGGAAGGUUAAUUGAUGGGGUUAGCGCAAGCGAAGCUUUGAUCGAAGCCCCGGUAAACGGCGGCCGUAACUAUAACGGUCCUAAGGUAGCGAAAUUCCUUGUCGGGUAAGUUCCGACCUGCACGAAUGGCGUAACGAUGGCGGCGCUGUCUCCACCCGAGACUCAGUGAAAUUGAAAUCGCUGUGAAGAUGCAGUGUAUCCGCGGCUAGACGGAAAGACCCCGUGAACCUUUACUGUAGCUUUGCACUGGACUUUGAGCCUGCUUGUGUAGGAUAGGUGGGAGGCUUUGAAGCGUGGACGCCAGUUCGCGUGGAGCCAUCCUUGAAAUACCACCCUGGCAUGCUUGAGGUUCUAACUCUGGUCCGUGAUCCGGAUCGAGGACAGUGUAUGGUGGGCAGUUUGACUGGGGCGGUCUCCUCCUAAAGAGUAACGGAGGAGUACGAAGGUGCGCUCAGACCGGUCGGAAAUCGGUCGCAGAGUAUAAAGGCAAAAGCGCGCUUGACUGCGAGACAGACACGUCGAGCAGGUACGAAAGUAGGUCUUAGUGAUCCGGUGGUUCUGUAUGGAAGGGCCAUCGCUCAACGGAUAAAAGGUACUCCGGGGAUAACAGGCUGAUACCGCCCAAGAGUUCAUAUCGACGGCGGUGUUUGGCACCUCGAUGUCGGCUCAUCACAUCCUGGGGCUGAAGCCGGUCCCAAGGGUAUGGCUGUUCGCCAUUUAAAGUGGUACGCGAGCUGGGUUUAGAACGUCGUGAGACAGUUCGGUCCCCUAUCUGCCGUGGACGUUUGAGAUUUGAGAGGGGCUGCUCCUAGUACGAGAGGACCGGGUGGACGAACCUCUGGUGUUCCGGUUGUCACGCCAGUGGCAUUGCCGGGUAGCUAUGUUCGGAAAAAGAUAACCGCUGAAAGCAUCUAAGCGGGAAACUUGCCUCAAGAUGAGAUCUCACUGGGAACUUGAUUCCCCUGAAGGGCCGUCGAAGACUACGACGUUGAUAGGCUGGGUGUGUAAGCGUUGUGAGGCGUUGAGCUAACCAGUACUAAUUGCCCGUGAGGCUUGACCAUAUAACACCCAAACA
RNAcentral lists this ribosomal RNA (2912 nucleotides) under Pseudomonas aeruginosa. RNAcentral describes it as "23S ribosomal RNA". It matches the Rfam family "Bacterial large subunit ribosomal RNA". Lineage: Bacteria; Pseudomonadati; Pseudomonadota; Gammaproteobacteria; Pseudomonadales; Pseudomonadaceae. The record is from RNAcentral.